GAGGUAGAGAGUUAUGUGAGGGGAGACAAGAUGGCUGCCUUCCCCUGUCUGUCUUGGUAAAGGAGAAAAUGGAGUUCCCUGAAAGUUCCAGUUGCCAGAUGUUCCGAACGACCAGUACCCUGGAGUUAUGAUUUGUGUUGUUCUGAGCAUUCAAAGCAAGCUGCAUUCUAACUGCCUCAGAACUCCAAGGGGCAGUUGCUUCAGUGACCAGCUCAGACCAGCUUCAGUCUUCUCAGGUCUUCUCUGAGGUCAGACACACGUAAGAAAGACCUGGAAAAAGUCCUUGCGUACCAGAGAGUGGUUGAAGAACCAAUAUCAUCAUGCCUUCAGUUGCCUGCCUUGCCUGUACUCAAGCACCGCCCCAGGCAGAUUAUGGCUCCCUUCCUGUACGGUGGCUGUGCAGGGCGUCUUGCUUCCAGCAUUAAACAGUGUGAGGCAUUCAUCUGCCCUGGGCCCUGGCCAAGAAAAUCCGUGACGACAGACAGAACCGCCAGCCUCUUGAGGAUGCAAUGAAUUCUGGAGGCCGCUUGCCUGCCUGCCAACCACAUCAAGAGCUGCCACCGAGAUCACAUUCCCUCUUUAAUUAUGAGCAGCCGUGUGAAAACUCUUUGGGGACUUCUUCCAAAUCUGAUUACAUCUUGAAAUGAACCUGGCAUCGCGGGGAUGUUGGAGGGUGGGGGAUAUCUCAGCCACUGGCUUCUUCUCAGCUCCCUCCGUUUCAUCCUAGAUAGCCAUUAUUGAAAAAGAUGAUAAACUAAUAUUGGGUAAAAUAAUUUCCCCAAAGUUUAAGUGGGUAGCUAAAUGCCCCCCAGGCAGUGGCAGAGUUAGAUAACAGUAAUAGAGCCAGCAGUCAAGAAAUCUCAGAGAGUAUAGCAAAGUGAUCCUUAUUUAAAAAAUCCCAGUAGUGAACUAAGCAAAUACCUCAAGGUGGGAAGGCCUUCGGUUGUUGUGAUAAUACUAGAGGAUUCUGCAAAGUAGAUUGUUUGUCCUGAAGUAUGUAUUCCUGUGCUGGUUUUCUUUUCUUUUCUAGUCAAUAAAUUCAGCUCCCAAGAGGGUAAACGAUGACGUCAAGCAUUACAUGUUCUGCUUUUCCAUUGCAACUGGACUGAAUUAUGUGUUGAAUUAUAAUAAACACUGCCAUGAUGAACUUUAAAUAUUAGGAACGCGUGCCAUUGAAUCUAGCUGAGAGGCUGAUGCUCCUUUACUAAUUGGCAAGUACUUAGAAAGGUCUGCAUAG
Molecule: non-coding RNA, 1237 nt
Organism: Podarcis muralis (Common wall lizard)
Lineage: Eukaryota; Metazoa; Chordata; Lepidosauria; Squamata; Lacertidae
Source: RefSeq, a predicted model, not a curated record